This 2783-nucleotide long non-coding RNA is filed under the name Xyrichtys novacula (pearly razorfish). The record is from RNAcentral. Lineage: Eukaryota; Metazoa; Chordata; Actinopteri; Labriformes; Labridae.
CCCCCGGGUGAGCUAUGCAAUCCCUGAACGCCCAUAGGCUGUAUCAAGUGUCAGUCAUAGAAAACAUGAACCCCAUAAUAACUUUUAAAAAUGGAGCUGCACAGAAAAAAAGAGGACUUGAGCACAAACAAGUUUGACAGUAACUACAUGUCAACAUCACAACCAGGGCGGAGAAAAAUGUAUAUUCUGUGUACUACGUUUCUAAAGUUUGUCCACAGCUCCAUAGGUAUUGCUGGAGGAGGCGGGAUUUAUGACCUAUACUGCAGCCGGCCAACAGAGGGUGCUGUUCUCGGAGUGGCUUCACCCAGCAAGGAUGCAGACUCUGUCCAUUCUAUAUACAGUCUAUGGGUGGAACCAGUGUUGCCAACUCCUCAGUAAGUAAAGUCGUAGAAGUCGCUAGAUGACUUAAUCGUCUAAUUUGCAUAUUUUUUCAGUCAACCCCAGCCCAACUCCAAAUCUAGCGACUCAAAAAAGUCGUUAGAUUUGUCGCUUGGUGCAUUUUUGAAGAUAAGUCAUUCGGAGGAAGGUCUGAAAAGUCGUUGCUGUGCUUGCCUGGUUGGCAACACUGGGUGGAACAUGUCCUGAUAUAGUGGUGCUUUGCAGGCUUUUGUGAUGCAGUUACUCGUUUGUUUUUUAUUGAGUAGCUGCGCCUACAUGUUUAGCUUAAACUUAAGGAGUUUCGGGGAUAUUUUUGCCGCUUAAACCAAGAAUCUGGGAGGUUUUUUUUGUCAAAUGUGCCACUCAGCAGUGGCGAUAUGGUAGGUGAUAGGAAAAAGAAUAAAUGAUUAAUAUAUUUUAGAGCAAAGUUUGAUCGUUUUAGAGCUAUUCAAAAGUUGAUACACACAAAGACUGGCAAGUACGUCUGGAGGAAGUAAGAAGAAUUGAUUUGUACCAGGACACGAAGACUAUCAAUUGUUUUUAAGAGACAGUUUAGUUGAUUUAAGACAACAGAAAGCAUAUUUUGCUUGGAAAAUAUGAUUCGUUUGCUUGUAUGUACAAUCCACUUGGCUAAGGCUCUGGAGAGAUUGAUUUUGAGAUCUUUUUUUUCAUUAUAAAUUGACACGAUCAAAUUGCUGAAGUCCAAAGAUAAAUGUGCAAGAAGUUAAACAAAAGACAACAAAAUAAGGGCGAGUCAAAUUUGCAGGUUUGAACAAAAGGUAAGAGUGGAUUUUUGGCAGCAUAAUGCAAAAGUUUAACAACAAUAUCCAUAGACAGUGAAGUCAGUGUAAAUCUGUUUCCCAGCAUGACACGGUAUGAGGUAAUUCUAAAAUGAUUCCAUAAACACGCCACGUUAUUGUCCUAAAUUAGCUCACAUGACAGUAAAAACAUACAAGCGAAAAUAAGCAAACAAUUAUCAACAAACAGAAGGAGUUUAAAAAAGACAGAAAAACAAACUCCGCCGUGGAAAACAGUCUUUUUUAGACUUAUAACAUGAGUCAUAAAUAGGGGUGACAAAGAUAUCUCUGGCUAUCACAAAACCUGCAAAACACACAGAACAAGAACGCCUUUCUCCUCGUACGCAGCGGAGAGACAAAAGGCGUAGUGUGAUAGCACAAAUGGCACGCAUCCAGCUCCGUCUCCCCACAAGCCGCACCGUGAAGAGCAGAGUCAAUACAUAACACUGAGGGGCCUCAAACACACUGUAACACACACACACACACACACACACACAAGAGGGUGCAGGAGUCAGGGCCGAGGCAGCGAGCUGACCAGUACCAAGCCGCUCAUGUGAGGAGAGAUUCUGCUCUGGACCCCUGUCGGCUUGUUUUGGCAACAGAGGGGCCGCGGAGCGAGUGCUGAGCCAGGACAAUAUGUUUUUUCAAAUGCCCCUCGGCCAAUAUUUAUUUAGCUACAAGCUGGCACGUCUGAGGAGCUCGCUGCAGCCAAGACGGGCGCACAACCGUGAUUUUCAAGAUGUUACAAACAUCAGGCUUCAAUCUGAGUCUGACCUUGCUAAUGCCCAUAAAUUACAAAUGAGUUCUGUGUGAAAAUAAAUGCUGCAGUGCCACGUUUGAUGAUGCAUUAUGAGCCGGCUGUGAGGGCGAAAAAAACAAAUUGACAAUUUAAAGAUUCACAGGAAAAUAAAAUUGAAUAAAGCAAAUAAGAAACCAGUUAGUGUCCCACGUUCAGGGCAGUAAUUGUGCCCACUGGCUGGAGAUUGCAAUAAGGAGUGCGAUGCAGGGUAACAGCGAGCUCUGCAUACUGCAGACUCGAACGUGGGGUAGAGAGGAAGCACAAGAGGGCCCUUUAUUUAUUUCUUUUCUCUUUUAAAACAGAUGGUUCCUUAUGUGCCGAGCGGAAGUGUCUGUUAACUCAGUUGGCUCACUAUUGGUGGCUGCCGGCCAAUGACAACAACGGGAUCGGGGAGUGUGAGCAACAGUGCAGUUUGCUUUCUUCAGAUGCUCCGCGAACAGAAGGAUGGCAGCCUGCAGAUACUGUUGCACGGCCACCCGAGCCUGGCGGUGCCAGCGCCGGCACCCAUCACACCUCAAGGGGUCUGCACCCAAUCUGAGUGUCACUGCCGCAUGUGUCGCGAUUUCAGGACAACAAGAGCUCACACAGUUCAAGAUGUUUCACUGAAUUACUGUGCGUUGGUUUAAAAUUUGUUUUCACUCAUAAUAAGUGUCCUUAUUUUUGUUGUGUGUUAUUUGGGCCCAACAUUUUAAAGCUGCUAUAAGGAUUUUUUUAAUGUUUCUGAAGUAGAUGGAAAAUCACACUGAUGCCUCUUUAUGAUACUCAAAAGCAAGCAAGACUAAGGGUGAUGAGAGUAAAAUCUGUUUCUC